UUAUGGACUUGGUCGGCACAUGGUUCUUCCUGUCUCACUUCACGGACUCCCACGUGGUGCCGCUGUUGCUAGCUGCAUUUAUGGAGCAACUGACAGCUGGCAUGCAUCCCUUUUAGCUGCUGCUCUUAUUGGCUUCAUGGGUCCUUCAUCUGCAAUCGGAGCCAUACUUGCAGGUAUCGACUACAGUGGUUUGGAUCACCUUAUGAUGUUUGCAUGUGGAGGAUUACUUCCAUGUUUUGGGAGCAUUUUCAAGAGGGCAAUGAGCCUCCAAAAGCAGAAGAGCAUAACAGGACUGAUAAUAGGCAUUUUGUUUGCGAGUAUUUGUCUAGCAUUCACAAAGUUGGUUUGCUUGCAUACGCCUUACUGCAACUCUGCACCAGAAGCUGUUAGGUGAUGAAAGUUGAGUAAAAUGAUAACGUUUUGGAUCAAAAAGAUCUCUCGUUAACUCUGUUUGGACGCAGCCUUGUGGACGUCAAACUUACUGGAAGCUGUUGAGUUGAUUUUUGCAGCAAACUACUUACAAAAAGAAAGCAUAGGAAGUUGAGGAAAAAGAUGGGAUUGUCUAUUGUACAUUAGUUAGAGACUUUG
RNAcentral lists this unclassified non-coding RNA (588 nucleotides) under Hevea brasiliensis (rubber tree). Lineage: Eukaryota; Viridiplantae; Streptophyta; Magnoliopsida; Malpighiales; Euphorbiaceae. The record is from RNAcentral.